GUACUCGCUUCAGCAGCACGUAUACUAAAAUUGGAAUGAUACAGAGAAGAUUAGCAUGGCCACUGCGCAAGGCGGGACAUACAAAUUUGUGAAGCAUUCCAUAUUUUU
Manis pentadactyla (Chinese pangolin) is the source of this 108-nucleotide small nuclear RNA. NCBI's taxonomy places the organism in Eukaryota, Metazoa, Chordata, Mammalia, Pholidota, Manidae. The record is from RefSeq and is a predicted model, not a curated record.